GCGUUGGUGGUAUAGCGGUGAGCAUAGCUGCCUUCUGAGCACUUGCCCCAGGUUCGAUUCCUGGCCAACACA
RNAcentral lists this transfer RNA (72 nucleotides) under Tauraco erythrolophus (red-crested turaco). It matches the Rfam family "tRNA". Rfam says of the family: Transfer RNA (tRNA) molecules are approximately 80 nucleotides in length. Their secondary structure includes four short double-helical elements and three loops (D, anti-codon, and T loops). Further hydrogen bonds mediate the characteristic L-shaped molecular structure. tRNAs have two regions of fundamental functional importance: the anti-codon, which is responsible for specific mRNA codon recognition, and the 3' end, to which the tRNAs corresponding amino acid is attached (by aminoacyl-tRNA synthetases). tRNAs cope with the degeneracy of the genetic code in two manners: having more than one tRNA (with a specific anti-codon) for a particular amino acid; and 'wobble' base-pairing, i.e. permitting non-standard base-pairing at the 3rd anti-codon position. The record is from Rfam by way of RNAcentral. Lineage: Eukaryota; Metazoa; Chordata; Aves; Musophagiformes; Musophagidae.